Molecule: ribosomal RNA, 253 nt
Filed under: uncultured bacterium
Lineage: Bacteria
Description: partial 16S ribosomal RNA
Rfam family: Bacterial small subunit ribosomal RNA
Source: RNAcentral
UACGUAGGGUGCAAGCGUUAUCCGGAAUUAUUGGGCGUAAAGAGCUCGUAGGCGGUUUGUCGCGUCUGCUGUGAAAACUGGAGGCUCAACCUCCAGCUUGCAGUGGGUACGGACAAACUAGAGUGCGGUAGGGGAGAUUGGAAUUCCUGGUGUAGCGGUGGAAUGCGCAGAUAUCAGGAGGAACACCGAUGGCGAAGGCAGAUCUCUGGGCCGUAACUGACGCUGAGGAGCGAAAGCAUGGGGAGCGAACAGG